RNAcentral lists this ribosomal RNA (253 nucleotides) under uncultured bacterium. RNAcentral's name for it is "partial 16S ribosomal RNA". It matches the Rfam family "Bacterial small subunit ribosomal RNA", at positions 524 to 776 of the family's 1533-position model. The record is from RNAcentral.
AACGUAGGACGCAAGCGUUAUCCGGAGUUACUGGGCGUAAAGCGCGAGCAGGCGGCUCGACAAGUUCGAUGUGAAAGCGCCCGGCUCAACCGGGCGAGGCCAUUGGAAACUAUCGAGCUGGAGGGCGGUAGAGGCAGGCGGAAUUCCGGGUGGAGUGGUGAAAUGCGUAGAGAUCCGGAGGAACACCAGAGGCGAAGGCGGCCUGCUGGGCUGCACCUGACGCUGAGCCGCGAAAGCCAGGGGAGCGAACGGG